Small nuclear RNA from Cavia aperea (Brazilian guinea pig), 98 nucleotides. The record is from Ensembl. NCBI's taxonomy places the organism in Eukaryota, Metazoa, Chordata, Mammalia, Rodentia, Caviidae.
GCUUUAGAACAUGUACUAAAAUUGGGACAUUACAGAGAAAAUUAACACGGUCCCUGUGCAAGGAUGACAUACAAAAAGGUGAACCAUGAUACUUAUUU